UUUUUUUAUUUGGUUGGAAGGCAUUUCUUUUACUUUUUUAUUAAUUAUAUAAUUAUAUCAUAUACCAAUGAUUAUCUCUUUCAAUAAUGGUAUAUACACAAACCAAUCUUUCCUCGUUUUGAGAUUUAUAACAUAUGUCGGUGUUUCUUCUCAUUUGAUGAAUGACGCUCUUAAAUUGUUCGUGAAAAUGACAAUAAAAUCGACAUAUCAACAAACUAUUGUGUGUUGAGAAUUGUUUCAUGUAUGUAAACAUGAAUUACAAUAGAUGAGGUAUUCAGUUGAGCUGUCUAUGAGGAUUUCAAAGAAUACUCUAAAAUGAUUAAGAUGAAAAUAUAAUAUGUAGGCUAGAAUGAAUGAAUCCCCCUUGCUUUCUAAGUGCAAUAUUUUAUAACUAUUACUUUUCCUAUCCUGCUGCCUUCUCGCGCGCUCUGCAAAAUUUCCAAAAAUACCCCUGAUCUGGACCAGAUUGUUAGUGAUAUCCGGAAAACGAAAUUCGGACCAGAUGUUAUGCGCUUUUUGUGUUUUUCAUUGAUGUGAAGGGUCUCUGUUGACCGUUAUAUGAACCACACACAAGCUGCAAUGCUAUUGCAGGGUUCAUAUGAACGGUCAACAAUGACCAUGACACCACCGACACCCCUAAAAAACUAAAAACAUUUAAAGAAAAUGGAAGAAAAGAAGUGAAGUGAAGAAUGAAGGUAUUUGUUGAAGAUGGAAGCCUAUUUAUAGCCUAAAACAAGUCCUAGGUCAUUAAUACAGUCAAUGAAAACGUGUUAGUGGUUGUAACCGUCCAAACCCACAUUAAUGGCUCUCUUUCAAAAGAAUCCAAUGCUGAAGCUUUUCGGAUUUUACAUUCCGGAAUGUCCUUAGCCAUACAGGAAGUGUCAACUUUUCCCUCGUUCACCAUUAUCGCAUUAAUCCAGGAAAUAUAUUCCGGAAAACAGAUGUGCAUUCCGGAUUUUAUAUUCCGAAAUGCAUCAGUUAUGGCUGGUGGUCUGCACCACACGUUUUUGUCGUUGGUCAGGUAAAAAAAACGCUUUUUACCACGUUUUUUGACUGCAUUUAUGGCCUCCUAAACAUUUUUCACCCACCCAUCCCUAUAAUAGUCUUCCCAACCCCACCAUUUCUCACACCAUCCUCUCCCACCCUCUCCUCCUCUUCUUCCUUCUACAACCAUGGUUUUUCAUCGUUGGCCUUUCAUAGAUAAUGACCUCUUUGAAAACUUUCAGGGUUUGUAUGAACGGUCAAUGAGGAUGGAACCGCGCUCAUCGAAGUGAGGUUCAUCUGAGGGUCAUGUGGGUCAGAGUGGUUCUUAGCUUCACCUGUCUGGACGUAAGUUUGAGCACCCCCCACCACUCUCAUGGGUAUUAUUUUCUUCUUCCCGCCCUCCUCUUCCCUCCUCCUCCAGUUUUCCUCCAAUAGGGAACCUACUGCUAUGUCCUAUCACAUAGCAGUGGUUAGGAUCU
RNAcentral lists this long non-coding RNA (1463 nucleotides) under Medicago truncatula (barrel medic). Its description in RNAcentral is "lncRNA gene5351". Lineage: Eukaryota; Viridiplantae; Streptophyta; Magnoliopsida; Fabales; Fabaceae. The record is from RNAcentral.